GCCCGAAUGGUGGAAUGGCAGACACGAAUGACUCAAAAUCAUUUGCCUCUGGCGUGCAGGUUCAAGUCCUGUUUCGGGCACCA
Molecule: transfer RNA, 83 nt
Filed under: Mycoplasmopsis californica
Lineage: Bacteria; Bacillati; Mycoplasmatota; Mycoplasmoidales; Metamycoplasmataceae
Also listed under: 1 other name
Description: Mycoplasma californicum tRNA-Leu(caa)
Rfam family: tRNA
About the family: Transfer RNA (tRNA) molecules are approximately 80 nucleotides in length. Their secondary structure includes four short double-helical elements and three loops (D, anti-codon, and T loops). Further hydrogen bonds mediate the characteristic L-shaped molecular structure. tRNAs have two regions of fundamental functional importance: the anti-codon, which is responsible for specific mRNA codon recognition, and the 3' end, to which the tRNAs corresponding amino acid is attached (by aminoacyl-tRNA synthetases). tRNAs cope with the degeneracy of the genetic code in two manners: having more than one tRNA (with a specific anti-codon) for a particular amino acid; and 'wobble' base-pairing, i.e. permitting non-standard base-pairing at the 3rd anti-codon position.
Source: RNAcentral